CAGCUCAGCAACAGAGCAUCUGCCUUGAAAGCAGAAGGUCCUGGGUUCAAUCCCAGGCAUCUCAGG
Podarcis lilfordi (Lilford's wall lizard) is the source of this 66-nucleotide non-coding RNA. The record is from the annotation of a GenBank genome assembly. Lineage: Eukaryota; Metazoa; Chordata; Lepidosauria; Squamata; Lacertidae.